This 228-nucleotide unclassified non-coding RNA is filed under the name Hevea brasiliensis (rubber tree). The record is from RNAcentral. Lineage: Eukaryota; Viridiplantae; Streptophyta; Magnoliopsida; Malpighiales; Euphorbiaceae.
AAGUAAAAUAGUAAUGAUUGUUAAGUAAAAUAGUCAUGAUUGAAAUGAGAUUCUACUAAAAACAAAGAGAACAAUUGCAAAGCUUUUCAAGAUGAAAAUGUAGUAAGAACAUGCUUGACAUUUAAGGAUGGUGUUGCAGACCUUGAGGUAGCAUCAGCUGUAUGUUAAGUUUGCAAAGUGAGUUCAGGAUGGAAAAUAUUUCAUUCUUGGGACAUGUGGUCUCUAAUG